GUUCCUUUCAUCAUCCCAGUCAGGGACAGGAGGCAAUAGAAAAGACGCAAACAUGACAGCUCCGGAACUGUAAAUAUUUCAGCCAAAGAAGCACAAGGUGAUAUGGAAAAUAUAGAGCACAGAUUCACACGGUGAAUCUAUAAAUACCGAACAGGCUGAAAAACUUAACUUUUUGUUUAAGUUUAUAAUUGCUAACGAAUCCUUCUGAGCGGUAGGGCCUUUGCAGAACAACUUAAGCCACUCCAUUUUUCCUUUAAACCCAGCUGAGAACUAAUAUCACACUUUGCGGUUCACUUAGAUCACUCGGCGUUUGCUGAUUUUCUUCCAUUUGCGCGCCAGGCUGAUCUCUCCAAGGGAGACGCCACAGCACGUGACGUGUAUGCAUCUGUUUUCUAGUGCAACGCUUUGUCCCCUGUGUCGUCCGUCUAGAGGUGGCGAAAAAUAUUAACCAGGACAAGAUCCUGAGCUUGCAGCGUUAUGUGGAAGGUUACCACCAAAGCAUGGCGGCCGCGGAGUCCUCCCUGGUGCAGCCGGUGGAGACGAGAUCCCAGAAGGCCGAGACACAGGGCACGGAAAGACAGGUGAGAGACCCCAGGGACCUGGAACUGGUGGUGGUGCAUGAGCGUCGUCCUCCCUACAGCCGACACCUGCUGACAGGCACACUGCCCCUGGUCUACGGCAUCCUCCUGGGUUUCUUGGGCACCAUCCUAACUGGGGUCCCCAUUGUCCUCUUUGUACUGCACAUCUCCCGAAGUGAUAUGGAGAAACUGCUCAAAAAACCCUGCAAGCGCCAAAUCCGACCUUUUCUGCAAUCCUGAUGCCCUGAGCAGAUGCAUAUUCACCCCUCUGUGCAUCACAAGGCCCAACAUCUGUCAUCAGUACCAGCAAGUCAUCACUGAGACAGUUUCGAACACUAGGCUAGAGGGAGCCCGGCCUGUUAGGAACACCAAGCUGCCCAGAGGUGAUUUUCCCAGUCAAAAUUAAGCAUGUUAGUGUUCUACAGCACAUUCUUAUCCUGCUUCACAUUUCAAUUAUUAAAACAAAAUUUUGC
This 1051-nucleotide long non-coding RNA is filed under the name Scleropages formosus (Asian bonytongue). Its description in RNAcentral is "lncRNA (ENSSFOG00015030900.1)". The record is from RNAcentral. Lineage: Eukaryota; Metazoa; Chordata; Actinopteri; Osteoglossiformes; Osteoglossidae.